Molecule: ribosomal RNA, 207 nt
Filed under: uncultured bacterium
Lineage: Bacteria
Description: partial 16S ribosomal RNA
Rfam family: Bacterial small subunit ribosomal RNA
Source: RNAcentral
CGCGUAGGCGGCUUUGCCAGUCAGGCGUGAAAGCCCCGGGCUUAACCUGGGAAUUGCGCUUGAUACUGCGGAGCUAGAGUUCGGGAGAGGAGAGUGGAAUUCCCAGUGUAGAGGUGAAAUUCGUAGAUAUUGGGAAGAACACCAGUGGCGAAGGCGGCUCUCUGGACCGAUACUGACGCUGAGGCGCGAAAGCGUGGGGAGCAAACA